RNAcentral lists this ribosomal RNA (463 nucleotides) under uncultured bacterium. RNAcentral's name for it is "bacterial SSU rRNA". It matches the Rfam family "Bacterial small subunit ribosomal RNA", at positions 329 to 793 of the family's 1533-position model. The record is from RNAcentral.
UUCCAGACUCCUACGGGAGGCAGCAGUGGGGGAUAUUGCACAAUGGGGGGAACCCUGAUGCAGCGACGCCGCGUGGGUGAAGGAGUGCUUCGGCAUGUAAAGCCCUAUCGGCAGGGAAGAGAAGCGAACAGGUUCGCCUGGACGGUACCUGACUAAGAAGCCCCGGCUAACUACGUGCCAGCAGCCGCGGUAAUACGGAGGGGGCAAGCGUUAUCCGGAUUCACUGGGUGUAAAGGGAGCGUAGACGGCGACGCAAGUCUGGAGUGAAAGCCCGGGGCCCAACCCCGGGACUGCUCUGGAAACUGCGUCGCUGGAGUACGGGAGGGGCAGGCGGAAUUCCUGGUGUAGCGGUGAAAUGCGUAGAUAUCAGGAGGAACACCGGUGGCGAAGGCGGCCUGCUGGACUGCAACUGACGUUGAGGCCCGAAAGCGUGGGGAGCAAACAGGAUUAGAUACCCCCGUAA